Molecule: non-coding RNA, 21 nt
Filed under: Caenorhabditis elegans
Lineage: Eukaryota; Metazoa; Nematoda; Chromadorea; Rhabditida; Rhabditidae
Source: RNAcentral
UAUGAGUAGGUGCUGAAGACG